GGUCCAUCUAUCAAGCACAGGCAGAAAAGUGCUGUGGUCUUCAGUAUUUAGGCUACCCAAGACCUUCCUGUAUAUGGAGAAGAGAACAUUUCAGAGAAGAGUCUUCUGGAGAAACCUGAGCAUCAAAUGAGCAGGGACACUAAAGACAGUGAAUUCACCAUGGCAUCUAACAUGUGCUCAGCUGGAGGGAACAAGAGCUUGCAAUCAAACUCUCAUAAGUACUGAGGGACCUUGGCUGUUUUACAUACCAAGAAGCACUGAGGGGAAUUCCAUCUUGUUUGUUCUUCAAGUCUUCAACUGAUUGUACAUAGCCCGCCCAUAGUGUGGAGUGGGUGCUCUCUCAUGGAAAGACAGUUGGGGACACAAAACUCUUGAGUUUCAGCUAAGGCCACAACAAUCACCUUCUGAGCCAAGUACAGAUGCUCAUUUCUAGGUUCAUCCUGCCUGC
Molecule: long non-coding RNA, 448 nt
Organism: Mus musculus (house mouse)
Lineage: Eukaryota; Metazoa; Chordata; Mammalia; Rodentia; Muridae
Product: predicted gene, 41766
Exons: 4
Source: RefSeq, a predicted model, not a curated record